Molecule: long non-coding RNA, 487 nt
Filed under: Prunus dulcis (almond)
Lineage: Eukaryota; Viridiplantae; Streptophyta; Magnoliopsida; Rosales; Rosaceae
Description: sRNA ncRNA
Source: RNAcentral
UUUUGAUAUUUAAUAAUAAGCAACCAUUAUUUUAGAUUAGAAUAAUAAUAUUAAUAUUACACAUGAAAACGAGGCCUAACCAAGGAAGCAGCCUCAGAUAUUGCAUCAGCUCUUAUUUUAGUGCAUAUCUAUCAAGCAGAGAACUUAUUAUGGUAUGGCCUUCUUCAAUUGCUUGCCUGCUGAAGUUGCUUGUUCUCUUUGUUUUCUUGUUUGCCUGACUCGCCCGCCUGACCGCGAUGGCCGAAGUCGGUAAGUACGUUCAAGUGUGACUUGUUCCCCUUCGCUUUAAAAUCAUCAACUUCGAUUUUAUUGUUGCCCUUGUCGGCCCCGUCAGUUCUGUUGGCGAAGCGGGUAAAUCCCGUCACGUCGCCAGUGUUGUCGGUCACAUCCACCCCUCUAAAUUUAAUAUCAUUGCUUCCAGCAUUGGCUGGCUUGGUUUGAUCUUGACCCAUUGUCUCACUGAUUGAUUUUUAGUUGGGAUUUGCGU